Molecule: long non-coding RNA, 1005 nt
Filed under: Oncorhynchus kisutch (coho salmon)
Lineage: Eukaryota; Metazoa; Chordata; Actinopteri; Salmoniformes; Salmonidae
Description: lncRNA (ENSOKIG00005040407.1)
Source: RNAcentral
AUGGAGGGAGGAGAAGGAGAGUGGAUGGAGGGAUGGAGGAGAAGGAGAGUGGAUGGAGGGAGGAGAAGGAGAGUAGAUGGAGGGAGGGAGGAGAAGGAGAGUGGAUGGAGGGGAGGGAGGAGAAGGAGAGUGGAUGGAGGGAGGAGAAGGAGAGUGGAUGGAGGGAGGAGAAGGAGAGUGGAUGGAGGGAGGGAGGAGAAGGAGAGUGGAUGUAUGGAGGAGAAAGAGAGUGGAUGUAUGGAGGAGAAGGAGAGUGGAUGGAGGGAGGAGAAGGAGAGGGAUGGAGGGAGGGAGGAGAAGGAGAGUGGAUGGAGGGAGGAGAAGGAGAGUGGGUGGAGGGAGGAGAAGGAGAGUGGAUGGAGGGAGGAGAAGGAGAGUGGAUGGAGGGAGGAGAAGGAGAGUGGAUGGAUGGAGGAGAAGGAGAGUGGAUGGAGGGAGGAGAAGGAGAGUGGAUGGAGGGAGGAGAAGGAGAGUGGAUGGAGGGAGGAGAAGGAGAGUGGAUGGAGGGAGGAGAAGGAGAGUGGAUGGAGGGAGGGAGGAGAAGGAGAGUGGAUGGAGGGAGGGAGGAGAAGGAGAGUGGAUGGAGGGAGGAGAAGGAGAGUGGAUGGAGGGAGGGAGGAGAAGGAGAGUGGAUGGAGGGAGGGAGGAGAAGGAGAGUGGAUGGAGGGAGGGAGGAGAAGGAGAGUGGAUGGAGGGAGGAGAAGGAGAGUGGAUGGAGGGGGGAGGGAGGGAGAAGGAGAGUGGAUGGAGGGAGGAGAAGGAGAGUGGAUGGAGGGAGGAGAAGGAGAGUGGAUGGAGGGGGAGAAGGAGAGUGGAGGAUGGAGGAGAAGGAGAGUGGAUGGAGGGAGGGAGGAGAAGGAGAGUGGAUGGAGGGAGGAGAAGGAGAGUGGAUGGAGAGGGAGAGUGGAUAGGGAGAGGGAGAGGGAGAGGGAGAGUGGAUGGAGGGAGGAGAGGGAGAGUGGAUGGAUGGAUGGAUGGAGGGAGAGGAGGGAGAGAGGAGGAUAG